This 158-nucleotide ribosomal RNA is filed under the name Aspergillus trisporus. RNAcentral's name for it is "5.8S ribosomal RNA". It matches the Rfam family "5.8S ribosomal RNA". From Rfam's summary of the family: 5.8S ribosomal RNA (5.8S rRNA) is a component of the large subunit of the eukaryotic ribosome. It is transcribed by RNA polymerase I as part of the 45S precursor that also contains 18S and 28S rRNA. Functionally, it is thought that 5.8S rRNA may be involved in ribosome translocation. Lineage: Eukaryota; Fungi; Ascomycota; Eurotiomycetes; Eurotiales; Aspergillaceae. The record is from RNAcentral.
UUAAAACUUUCAACAAUGGAUCUCUUGGUUCCGGCAUCGAUGAAGAACGCAGCGAAAUGCGAUAACUAAUGUGAAUUGCAGAAUUCAGUGAAUCAUCGAGUCUUUGAACGCACAUUGCGCCCCCUGGUAUUCCGGGGGGCAUGCCUGUCCGAGCGUCA